UACGGAGGGUGCAAGCGUUAAUCGGAAUUACUGGGCGUAAAGCGCGCGUAGGCGGCCACAUCAGCCGGUUGUGAAAGCCCCGGGCUCAACCUGGGAACGGCAUCCGGAACUGUGUGGCUAGAGUGCAGGAGAGGAAGGUAGAAUUCCCGGUGUAGCGGUGAAAUGCGUAGAGAUCGGGAGGAAUACCAGUGGCGAAGGCGGCCUUCUGGACUGACACUGACGCUGAGGUGCGAAAGCGUGGGUAGCAAACAGG
Molecule: unclassified non-coding RNA, 253 nt
Filed under: uncultured Halomonadaceae bacterium
Lineage: Bacteria; Pseudomonadati; Pseudomonadota; Gammaproteobacteria; Oceanospirillales; Halomonadaceae
Description: contains 16S-23S intergenic spacer region
Rfam family: Bacterial small subunit ribosomal RNA
Source: RNAcentral